Unclassified non-coding RNA from Propithecus coquereli (Coquerel's sifaka), 202 nucleotides. The record is from Ensembl. Lineage: Eukaryota; Metazoa; Chordata; Mammalia; Primates; Indriidae.
AGGCGGCGGGCGUGGUGCUUCGGCCAGAGCCGAGAGGCUCUGGCGACGGCGGGACCGUGAGGUGGGUUGGGCGGGUGGACUGCGUGGAGUUCGGCUUUGCAGGGAGGCGCGGACAGCUCAGGGCUGCAGUCCACCCCGCCAGGUCCCCGCGCACAAAGCUGCGCGCCUUGCAGCCGCCCUCUGCCCGGUUUUGCGCUCCCGA